CGUCCGCCUGCCUGGCCGCCCCAGCUCCGUCUGGGGCCUACCCGGGUCCGGGCUGUGUGCGCCUCCGCCGCUAGGCUGGGCUGGGCUGACCGCGGGCGGCGGGCGCUGCCCGGCGACGAGCUGCAGCCCCGAGGGUCUCUGGCCCUCGGGCGCAUUUCUGUCCGGCCGACCUGGGAAGCGGGCUUCGGGCCCAGACCCCGAGGAGAGGCUGCGGGCUGCCUGGGGACAUGUGUUUGUAUUUCUUUUUAAACCAGCAGCUCGGAAGGGAGAGGCGGCAGCCCUCCGGUCGUCGUCGCGUGUUGCCAGGCCGGGUGACUCGCGGUCGGGAGAGGGCGUGGGCGCGGUAGGCGGCCGGACUUCGCUGCUGUGCUCCAAGGCAGGCUCCUCCGGAACCAUCUCUUUGAAGACUCCGCGCCCGCCAGCUUGGGUGUCCGGCGGGACCCGAGCAAAGUUUGUUCCAGGACCUUGCCUCACCCUGAAUGCGCUGCUUGGAAAACUGUUGGAGGGUGUCCGUGGUAGCGUGGUUUGGUGGAAAUGAACUAUGCUUUGGAGUCAAGACAGAUCUGCCAUCGGAUUCUGGUUCUGAUAGUCUCUCUGUAACCUUGGACCAGUUAUUUAACCUUGCUGAGCCUCCGUUUCUUUGUCCUAUGUUUGCUUUUCCUUAUUUUAAUUUACUCUUUUAUAUUUGAAAUUGUUCUGGGCUUUUUGGUUUGUGUGUGUAUCAUAUAGGAGUCUGUCCCUAGGCGAAAGCUGUUCUUAAUCCUGUACACCCCGUUACUAGCUCUGUGACCUGGGGCAACGCAUGACAGCUUUCCUAGGCCUUGAUUUCCCCAUCUUUAAAAUCAGCCAGAUUACAGAUGGUAAUAUGGCUAAUAAUGAUCAUAACAGUUGGAAUUUGGAGGAUUUAGUGCUAAAAUGUGUAUAAAAUAUCUAGCACAGGACACAGUAUAGAUAGUGUUACCAUAUUUAAUUAAAUCAACUUUCAAACAUAUUAAAAAGCUUGUUUUAAAGUCAAGAAAUAAGUAUUGAGUCACUCAGAUCUACCCAAGCACUCUAUUUGGUAGUAACUAGUGAUAAACUAGCUGUCAGCCAAAUAAGGUUUAAACAAACGGGAUUUAAACUGGACUUUGUCACCAGAAAUAUUUCCAUUGCACUCGUGGAGCUUUUGCCUAAAUUAAGUCCAGCACAGCUGUUGAAGAAAGAGUUCCAUCCAGGCUAUCAUUGGGGUUUGGUAAGUGGAGAGAACCCGGCUUCUGACAAGUCUAGCUAACACUUAUUGAACAUGUGCCUUUCUAAGCACUUUACAGUAUUGGCGUGUGUGAUCUUGGGUACCAACACUAAGGAGCUUCUGGGUCUUGGGCUAUAAAAGUGAGGACAACCACACCCUACAGUUUUGUGAUGAAUAAUUGAUGUCUGUAAAUAUAUUAAGGUACAGACAUUAAGGCAUUGUCAAUAGUAUACACGGCUGGAGCAGGUAAGAGAAGCAACAAAAAUAACUGGACUCCAGGAAGGAAUAAGAGUAAGUAUAGAGGUUUAGUUUGUUUCAGUUUGGGGAGUUGUUAGCUUAUUCUGUUAAGGAGAGCAAACAGAAAAAGUGUCUAAACCUCAAGAGAAUCUCAGAUCUUUGACACUUAUUUCACUGUUUGCAAUCAGUCAAAAGUAAGAAAAUGAAAAUGACUAAACAUUUUUCUUCUUUGUAUAAGCGUGAGAAGGAAUAUUAUAGUUAUCUGGUGUUUUCAUGGCUGAAGGAAACAUUUCCUCAAUUCGGUUAGAGGUCAGGCCCUUCGCUUUAAAACAACCUUCUGCUUGCUGUUCUGUGGUAUGGGAGAUGUCAUUUCCAGAAAGAUUAAGUGCUUGUACCAAAUUGUCCAUCAGAUGAUUUCUGGUCUUCAGAAAUGGUUCCUCCAGUCCUUUCCUUUCCCUGUACCUCUGAGUUCUUCCAUUGUCCUUACCUCACUAACCCAUCUUUCAUAUUGUGGCCCAACUAUGUUCUGUAAAACAAGCUAAUGAGUGUAAACACUGGCGAAAUCUGAAUAAGGUCUGUAGCCUAGUUAAUUGCAUUGUGCUAAUGUCAGCUUCCUGGCUUUGAUAGUUUUCUAUAGUUUUGUAAAAUGCUACUAUCAUCGGAGGGAGCUGGGUGAGUGUACAUGGGCCCUCUCUGCAACUUCCUGUGAGUGCAUUAUUAUUUCAGAGUAAAAAAUUAUGGAGACAGAAA
This is a long non-coding RNA of Herpailurus yagouaroundi (jaguarundi), 2215 nucleotides long. RefSeq lists it as uncharacterized. The transcript has 2 exons. Lineage: Eukaryota; Metazoa; Chordata; Mammalia; Carnivora; Felidae. The record is from RefSeq and is a predicted model, not a curated record.